RNAcentral lists this ribosomal RNA (492 nucleotides) under uncultured bacterium. Its description in RNAcentral is "partial 16S ribosomal RNA". It matches the Rfam family "Bacterial small subunit ribosomal RNA", at positions 29 to 507 of the family's 1533-position model. The record is from RNAcentral.
AGUGAACGCUGGCGGUAGGCCUAACACAUGCAAGUCGAACGGCAGCACAGUAAGAGCUUGCUCUUACGGGUGGCGAGUGGCGGACGGGUGAGGAAUACAUCGGAAUCUACUUUUUCGUGGGGGAUAAUGUAGGGAAACUAAGGCUAAUACCGAAUAGAACUUAGGGGGAAAGGCGGGGGACCUUGGAACCUGGCGGGAUGAAAUGGGCGGAUGUCGGAUUAGCUAGUGGGCGGGGUAAAGGCCAACCAGGGCGACGAUCCGUAGCUGGUCUGAGAGGAUGAUCAGCCACACUGGAACUGAGACACGGUCCAGACUCCUACGGGAGGCGGCAGUGGGGAAUAUUGGACAAUGGGCGCAAGCCUGAUCCAGCCAUACCGCGUGGGUGAAGAAGGCCUUCGGGUUGUAAAGCCCUUUUGUUGGGAAAGAAAAGCAGCAGGUUAAUACCCCGCUGUUCUGACGGUACCCAAAGAAUAAGCACCGGCUAACUUCGUG